UACGGAGGGUGCGAGCGUUGUCCGGAAUCACUGGGCGUAAAGGGCGCGUAGGUGGCGCGGGAAGUCAACGGUGAAAGUUCGGGGCUCAACCCUGAAUCGGCCGUCGAUACUCCCGGGCUCGAGCACUGUAGAGGCAGAUGGAAUUCCGGGUGUAGCGGUGGAAUGCGUAGAGAUCCGGAAGAACACCGGUGGCGAAGGCGGUCUGCUGGGCAGGUGCUGACACUGAUGCGCGACAGCGUGGGGAGCAAACAGG
RNAcentral lists this ribosomal RNA (253 nucleotides) under uncultured bacterium. Its description in RNAcentral is "partial 16S ribosomal RNA". It matches the Rfam family "Bacterial small subunit ribosomal RNA", at positions 524 to 776 of the family's 1533-position model. The record is from RNAcentral.